Long non-coding RNA from Xiphophorus hellerii (green swordtail), 1948 nucleotides. RefSeq lists it as uncharacterized. The record is from RefSeq and is a predicted model, not a curated record. The transcript is spliced from 2 exons. NCBI's taxonomy places the organism in Eukaryota, Metazoa, Chordata, Actinopteri, Cyprinodontiformes, Poeciliidae.
AUCGUGACAGGCCUAGUUGUGGUCUGAAAUAUCAGAUGUUCCAAUUAAGCAUUCCUUCACUUUAGAUCUAUCAAUGGUGUUCAUCAGAAACAGAUCGAUCCUGGAGUGGACUUUGUGUGCAGGAGAGUAAUGAGUAAAUUCUCUUUCUUUAUUAUGGAGAUCCCUCCAGACAUCAAACAAGCCCAUCUCCCGGAUCAGGAUAUUUAAAUCUUUUGACCUACCAGUUUUUUGUUUCUUAUAGCUUGUUGUAUCUAGAGCAUAAUUAAGGAUUGUGUUCCAAUCUCCAGCGCAAACAAGAACUCCUUCACUAAAUGAGAUAAUGGGGUCAAAGAACGUUUUUAAGAAAGUCCUGUCGCUCUCUGGUGGUACAUGUAUAUUAACAAUCGUGACCACAACAUUAUCAAUUCUCCCCUUUAUAAUAGCAAAUCUGCCCUCUUUGUCACCCUUCUCAGAUAUCAAUUCAAAGUUCAGUGAGUAAGAAAUUAGGGUGACUACCCCCCUCUUUCUACUAUUUCUACAAGAGCUAUAAAAGGUGUUUGAGUAACCAAAUGACUUAAACUUAUCAUGCUCUUGUUUAGACAUACGUGUCUCUUGUAAAAGAGCGAUUUGUAUCCCAUCUUUUUUCAAUUUAGCUAAGACCCUUUUUCUUUUUACUGGACUACUCAAUCCGUUUACAUUUAAGGAAGUGAUUUUUAAAUUAUAUGACAUGAAUAUACAAAGAAAAUUACCUUGACUGAUUUGGCCCCUGAAUCCAGAACACGAACAGUAAUAAAGCAAAACAAUAUCAAACUAACUUCCAAGAUGAGAAGAAGCUCCCUGUUCUCACUCUUGACCCCGUUGGCAAGUUGAGGGUUAAACCUCUCAAACUGAGAGGGCCCGAAAAGGACAGUAGAAGCGCCUUUAGGAAAAAACACGUCCAUCCUAUUAGUGAUGUGUCGGUCGCUAACGAUCCGGCUCUAAGAGCCGGCUCUUUGAAGUGAACGAUUGGAACUGGCUCCACAAUGGGAGCCGUUUUAGGAUCCUAUUUGGGAGCCUGGUUUUUUUCUACAGUAUAUCGCUGUCUCUCCGCCUCCCUGUUGUUGUGCUUGUGCUCUGCAAGUGCCAGAGCCGAUAGUUUUUCCCCACAUCGUUUUUUUUUGUCCUGCGGUGCCUCGCUCGGGCAAGCGGAGACACUGCAACCAGGAAUCCUACAGCUGAUGCUAUUCUGGAAGUGAGGUCCUACCUUGAGGAGCCUCUUUUCCAGCGCAGUGCUGACCCACUGAGCUGGUGGGAGACAAAGGCACUGAUCUAUCCACAUCUCUCUCACGUGAUGGCACGUAGACUGUGCAUAGUGGCAACAUCCGUCCCCUCAGAGAGGAUCUUCUCUAAAACUGGACAGAUCAUAACUGAGAGAAGGAACAGGAUCAGCCCUGCCAAGCUUAGACACCUGGUGUUUCUCAACGCCAAUCUGUAAGUCUUUGAGUGAUUUAAUACAGUGAGUUCUUCAUCUCUAGUGGUUCAAAACUUGUGUUGUUCACAUGUUUUUUAUCCUUCAUAGUUUUAUACUUUAAUUUAAUAGCACUGUAUUUGAUAUUUGUAUUGUGGCACCUUUUCUGUUAUGAAGCUGCUUUGAUACUUUUUCGUAUUGUGGUGGGUGUUUGUAUUUACAUUUAACUGUUUAAUUUAUUUUAAGUUAUUUUUGUGGAAGUGGUGCUAUUUUGUGAUCAUUUAAUUGGUUAUAAUAAAAAGUUUAUUUAUAAAGCAUUGUUAUGCGGCAUUUUUACUCAUAAGUGCUUAACAAUGUCAAUAAUGAAACAAAAUAUUAUAAAAUUAGGUUUAAGCUAUUAAUUAAUUAAUAAUGUCAAAAAUAUAUAUGGGGAGCCGUUUGGGAGCCGAAAGAGCCGGCUCUCCACAGUAAGAAGAGCCAUUAGAGCCGCAUCUCGAAAAGGAGCCGAAAAUCCCAUCACUG